ACUGUUUAUCGUAGGGAAGAAUCCACACCGUGCUUGUCUACAUCUGGAUUGACAUGUCAGCUUGCUAUCAAGAAAAGAGAUACACCGGUCGGCCCUUGUAGCCCGCCGUCGCCCUCAACCACAUUCACCACCCUCGCCCCCUCCUCACACAGAACCGCACAGAUCCGUCGUAGCUGACCAUGGAUUCCGCUAGACCACCUGAGAUGACAUGGUUGCUGGACCCGUCGAACUCCACCACGGGCAUGCAUCGCCGAUGGAAGGAAUAGAGGAGCCUGCAGCCGCUCAUGGUAUCGACCUCUAGCGUCAAUCACCACCGAUCUGGAUUUGGAGGCAAGCUUGAGGAACCGAGCUCGUACUGGACGGCGGGGGCAACGCUAAGCAAAAUGAGCUUAAUGUGUUCAAGCAGAAGCACAAAGUAGUUUCAAGCCUGUAUGCUAACGGGAACGCACAGUCGUCAAUCAUGAGUGAGCAUUUGAACAGAGGGCAGUCCAAUGAGUUGGAAACCGCAUCAGGUAAGCAAAUCAAGUGUGGUAGGUGCAAGAAUCUAGGAGACAACAGGAAGAAAUGCAAGGUUAGAGAGAUGUAAUGUUCCUCACUUGACCAGUUGUGGUUCCAAUCUUCUAAUUUUCGGUGAUCAUGUUUCCGAUUUUGUUAAGCAUGACUAUACCAGGUGAUCUUUGUUUUGGGACGUUCCUGUUAGCACCUCUUCGACGAACAUCUUUUGUGUCAUUUUGUUUAGAUGGCAUGAUCAGUUGAUCACGCGUCAGAUGUGUUAUGUAUGAUAUAUGCAAUGGGCUUUCCCAGAUAUACAUUGUCUUUUCGUCA
This is a long non-coding RNA of Aegilops tauschii subsp. strangulata, 825 nucleotides long. RefSeq lists it as uncharacterized. The record is from RefSeq and is a predicted model, not a curated record. NCBI's taxonomy places the organism in Eukaryota, Viridiplantae, Streptophyta, Magnoliopsida, Poales, Poaceae.